This 352-nucleotide unclassified non-coding RNA is filed under the name soil metagenome. RNAcentral's name for it is "partial contains 5.8S ribosomal RNA, internal transcribed spacer 2, and large subunit ribosomal RNA". The stretch from base 1 to 120 matches the Rfam family "5.8S ribosomal RNA", at positions 35 to 154 of the family's 154-position model. The record is from RNAcentral.
GAUGAAGAACGUAGCGAAAUGCGAUAAGUAAUGUGAAUUGCAGAAUUCAGUGAAUCAUCGAAUCUUUGAACGCACAUUGCGCCCGCCAGUAUUCUGGCGGGCAUGCCUGUUCGAGCGUCAUUACAACCCUCAGGCCCCCGGGCCUGGCGUUGGGGAUCGGCGGAGCCCCCCGUGGGCACACGCCGUCCCCCAAAUGCAGUGGCGGUCCCGCCGCAGCUCCCAUCGCGUAGUAGCUAACACCUCGCGACUGGAGAGCGGCGCGGCCACGCCGUAAAACACCCAACUCUUCUGAAGUUGACCUCGAAUCAGGUAGGAAUACCCGCUGAACUUAAGCAUAUCAAUAAGCGGAGGA